GGGCGGAAGUGUGAAGGGAGGAGAGUCCGAGAGAAUGUUGACAGAUCCCAAUCAACUUGCCGAGGAAGGAUGGUAACGAUUGAGAUGCCGAAGCCUAGCAACAGCGCGCGGGGCCACGCCCCCUGCGCCGGCGAUUGGGCGAAUUCGUGCAUGUUAAGUAGGCGCCGCGCGCUGAUUGGCCAUGUAAAGUGCCCCGUGACAGCGGGGAUGCUCGCUGGGGCAGCGUCCAAUGGGCGCCGUUGAACUUGACGUUGCUGUGAGGAAGGAAAAAGUUGAAGAGGGAGAGAGAGAAAAACUAAAGGGGACACGGCCGGUUAGGGACCGUGGAGAAAUAAUAAGACCAGAAGAAAAACGGCCUGGUGGAUUACGUAGGGGCCUAGAUUAAUUUCCCCAUGACAAACUGGUCAGGCUCUGACUGCAGUACCGCAUCAUCCACCAAGAUUUUCUGCUGAAAUGGCCCGUAAAACCUACGAUUUCUCUCUUUGUACGUCCUAAUGCAGGUCAGUGAUCACUUUAAGAGCGUUAAGGCCAGUACUGACAGGAAGAUUUCCCCAGAUAUGUGCGCUGAGCGAUCUAUCAGUGCGAUGUGUGCUGAGCGAGGGGAAGGCGGGCGGGCCGCUCAUUUCACCCAGCGGUGAAAUGAGCGACCUGCUAGAUUGUGACUGCAUGCAGGCCAAUCUAGCACGGGAGAUAGCGAUGCGCGGGACUGCGCAUCGCUAUCGCUGUAGGGG
Molecule: long non-coding RNA, 731 nt
Organism: Pseudophryne corroboree (corroboree frog)
Lineage: Eukaryota; Metazoa; Chordata; Amphibia; Anura; Myobatrachidae
Exons: 3
Source: RefSeq, a predicted model, not a curated record